RNAcentral lists this ribosomal RNA (483 nucleotides) under uncultured bacterium. Its description in RNAcentral is "partial 16S ribosomal RNA". It matches the Rfam family "Bacterial small subunit ribosomal RNA", at positions 29 to 507 of the family's 1533-position model. The record is from RNAcentral.
AUUGAACGCUGGCGGCAUGCUUUACACAUGCAAGUCGAACGGCAGCGCGGGCUUCGGCCUGGCGGCGAGUGGCGAACGGGUGAGUAAUACAUCGGAACGUGCCCAGUAGUGGGGGAUAGCUCGGCGAAAGCCGGAUUAAUACCGCAUACGACCUGAGGGUGAAAGCGGGGGAUCUUCGGACCUCGCGCUAUGGGGCGGCCGAUGGCAGAUUAGCUAGUUGGUGGGGUAAAGGCCUACCAAGGCGACGAUCUGUAGCUGGUCUGAGAGGACGACCAGCCACACUGGGACUGAGACACGGCCCAGACUCCUACGGGAGGCAGCAGUGGGGAAUUUUGGACAAUGGGCGAAAGCCUGAUCCAGCAAUGCCGCGUGUGUGAUGAAGGCCUUCGGGUUGUAAAGCACUUUUGGCGGGAACGAAAAGGACUGUGCCAAUACCACGGUUCGAUGACGGUACCCGCAGAAUAAGCACCGGCUAACUACGUG